This 815-nucleotide ribosomal RNA is filed under the name uncultured bacterium. RNAcentral describes it as "bacterial SSU rRNA". It matches the Rfam family "Bacterial small subunit ribosomal RNA", at positions 8 to 796 of the family's 1533-position model. The record is from RNAcentral.
AGAGUUUGAUCAUGGCUCAGAUGAACGCUGGCGGCGUGCUUAACACAUGCAAGUCGCACGAGAACGCUUCAGCUUGCUGAAGCUAGUAAAGUGGCGCACGGGUGAGUAACGCGUGGGUAAUCUAUCUCUGAAUUGGGGAUAACAUUGCGAAAGCGAUGCUAAUACCGGAUGAUAUCCAUUAAACCUCGGUUUUUUGGAUCAAAGGUGGCCUCUACAUGUAAGCUACUGUUUGGAGACGAGCCCGCGUACCAUUAGCUUGUUGGUAAGGUAACGGCUUACCAAGGCAACGAUGGUUAGCUGGUCUGAGAGGAUGAUCAGCCACACUGGAACUGACACACGGUCCAGACUCCUACGGGAGGCAGCAGUGAGGAAUUUUGCGCAAUGGGGGAAACCCUGACGCAGCAACGCCGCGUGAGUGAUGAAGGCUUUCGGGUCGUAAAGCUCUGUCAAGUGGGAAGAACCCGCGCCGCACAAAUAGUGCGGGGCGCUGACGGUACCACUGAAGGAAGCACCGGCUAACUCCGUGCCAGCAGCCGCGGUAAUACGGGGGGUGCAAGCGUUAUUCGGAAUCAUUGGGCGUAAAGAGCGCGUAGGCGGUCUUCUAUGUCAGGUGUGAAAGCCCGGGGCUCAACCCCGGAAGUGCACUUGAAACUGGGAGACUUGAGUAUGGGAGAGGGAAGUGGAAUUCCUGGUGUAGCGGUGAAAUGCGUAGAUAUCAGGAGGAACACCGGUGGCGAAGGCGACUUCCUGGACCAAUACUGACGCUGAGGCGCGAAGGCGUGGGGAGCAAACAGGAUUAGAUACCCUAGUAGUCC